RNAcentral lists this ribosomal RNA (686 nucleotides) under Enterobacter sp. RNAcentral's name for it is "bacterial SSU rRNA". It matches the Rfam family "Bacterial small subunit ribosomal RNA", at positions 817 to 1501 of the family's 1533-position model. The record is from RNAcentral. Lineage: Bacteria; Pseudomonadati; Pseudomonadota; Gammaproteobacteria; Enterobacterales; Enterobacteriaceae.
UUGGAGGUUGUGCCCUUGAGGCGUGGCUUCCGGAGCUAACGCGUUAAGUCGACCGCCUGGGGAGUACGGCCGCAAGGUUAAAACUCAAAUGAAUUGACGGGGGCCCGCACAAGCGGUGGAGCAUGUGGUUUAAUUCGAUGCAACGCGAAGAACCUUACCUACUCUUGACAUCCAGAGAACUUACCAGAGAUGCAUUGGUGCCUUCGGGAACUCUGAGACAGGUGCUGCAUGGCUGUCGUCAGCUCGUGUUGUGAAAUGUUGGGUUAAGUCCCGCAACGAGCGCAACCCUUAUCCUUUGUUGCCAGCGGUUCGGCCGGGAACUCAAAGGAGACUGCCAGUGAUAAACUGGAGGAAGGUGGGGAUGACGUCAAGUCAUCAUGGCCCUUACGAGUAGGGCUACACACGUGCUACAAUGGCGCAUACAAAGAGAAGCGACCUCGCGAGAGCAAGCGGACCUCAUAAAGUGCGUCGUAGUCCGGAUUGGAGUCUGCAACUCGACUCCAUGAAGUCGGAAUCGCUAGUAAUCGUGGAUCAGAAUGCCACGGUGAAUACGUUCCCGGGCCUUGUACACACCGCCCGUCACACCAUGGGAGUGGGUUGCAAAAGAAGUAGGUAGCUUAACCUUCGGGAGGGCGCUUACCACUUUGUGAUUCAUGACUGGGGUGAAGUCGUACAAAGGGGUAACC